UACGUAGGGUGCAAGCGUUGUCCGGAAUUAUUGGGCGUAAAGAGCUCGUAGGCGGUUUGUUGCGUCGGCUGUGAAAUCCCGAGGCUCAACCUCGGGUCUGCAGUCGAUACGAGCAAACUAGAGUGUUGCAGGGGAGACUGGAAUUUCUGGUGUAGCGGUGAAAUGCGCAGAUAUCAGGAGGAACACCGGUGGCGAAGGCGGGUCUCUGGGCAAUAACUGACGCUGGAGGAGCGAAAGCCGUGGGGAGCGAACAGG
This 255-nucleotide ribosomal RNA is filed under the name uncultured bacterium. Its description in RNAcentral is "partial 16S ribosomal RNA". It matches the Rfam family "Bacterial small subunit ribosomal RNA", at positions 524 to 776 of the family's 1533-position model. The record is from RNAcentral.